AAAAAAACACAGAAAUACGACACCAAGGGAGGGUCCAGUACUGCUACGCGCUAGUACAACUAGAGCCGGCAAUGGCGGCUCAACCAGUGCUACCACUAUUGCUCUAUCUCUUACUCGUCCCUCUGCUGCUCCUCCUCCGGGCAACAACCACGAGGUCGGCCGGCGAGCGAGCAGCAGCGGACAACCAUGGGGGCCGUCCCCUCCCUUCGCCUCCGAACAAGCUCCCUCUCAUCGGCCACCUGCACCUGGUCGGCCCCGACCCGCACGUCUCCCUCGCCGCCCUCGCCGCCAAGCACGGCGAUGGCGGCUCAUGCUCCUCCGCCUCGGCCAGACGCGCGCCCUCGUCGUCUCCUCCCCGCGCGCGGCCGAGGCGGUCCUGCGCACGCACGACCACGUCUUCGCCUCGCGGCCGCCGAGCGCGCUCGUCGACGCCCUCCUGGGCGGCGGCGCCGACGUCGCCUUCGCCCCCUACGGCGAGUUCUGGCGCCAGGCCAGGAGGCUGGUCACCACGCACCUGCGCAGCGCCAGGAAGGUGCACUCGCUCCGCCGCGGCCGCGAGGAGGAGGCGCGCCUGGUGAUGGCCGGGAUCCGGGGCGCGGCGGCCGCCGGCGCCCCCGUGGACAUGACGAGGCUGCUCGGCAGCUUCACCAACGACAUAGCGUGCCGCGCCGUGUCCGGGAAGUUCUUCCGGGAGGAAGGCCGGAACGAGCUGUUCCGGGAGGCGAUCGACGGGAACGUGGCCGCGUUUGGCGGGUUCAGCGUGCUGGACUACUUCCCGGGCCUGGCCAAGGUGGGCGUGCUCGCGCGACUGGUGUUUGCCAAGACCAAUCAGUUGAAGAGGAAAUGGGACGAGCUGCUCGAUAAGAUCAUCGACGACCAUGUCAGCAAAGCAUCGGCACAGGAGCAACACCCCGAGCACGAUCAGCAAGAAGAUCAAGAAGAGACAGACUUCGUUGAUGUGCUGCUCGAUCUUCAGGAGGGGUACAAUCUCACCAGAGAGCAUAUCAAGGCCAUAUUGAUGGUAAAUCUCCUCUCAUACCCUCAUAAUACCUUUGUCUUGGUUUAUUAGUCCCUUUUGUAAUUUAUGCUAAAUUUUGACCAAAUAUUUAACUGACAAAACCUUAAUACAUGUAAAAUAAUUAUAUCCUUAGAUUCUUAUUUGAACAUAGUUUUUGAUAAUAUAAAUUUUGGUGACAUGCACGAAUAUUUUGUUAAUUAAAUUUAUGGUCAAAAUUUAGCACAGAUUACAAUGGAGACAAAUAAACCAGGACAAAUGUUGUAUGUUCGUAGCUAGCCUAUUAUGGUAAAUAUGGUCAUAUAUUAAGUGUGCUGAUGCUUCAGAUCGAACCCAUACACAAGACAUGUUUGUGGCAGGCACGGAUACGUCAUACAUAGUUCUCGAGUGUGCCAUGGCUGAGCUCAUGCGAAAGCCGAACCUCAUGACCAAACUUCAAGCCGAGGUGAGGCAAAAGACACCCAAGGGCCAACAAAUGGUGACCGAGGACGACUUGGGCAACAUGGCCUACCUAAAGGCCGUCGUGAAGGAGACGCUCCGGCUACACCCACCGCUGCCGCUCCUCCUCCCGCACCUCUCCAUGGCCGAAUGCGAUAUCGACGGUUAUAAAGUCUCCGCUGAAACUCGUGUGAUCGUAAACGCUUGGGCUCUUGGUAGAGACCCUGGAUCGUGGGAGGCUGCCGACGAGUUCAUGCCGGAGAGGUUUGUGGACAUCGUGUCCCUCGAUUUCAAAGGGAGGGAUUUUCAGUUUCUGCCAUUUGGAGCUGGGCGAAGGAUGUGUCCCGGGAUAAAUUUUGGGAUGGCGUCUGUGGAGAUCAUGCUCGCCAACCUUGUCUAUUGUUAUGAUUGGGAGCUCCCGGACGGCAUGCGGCAAGCGGGCCUGGAUAUGACUGAUGUGUUUGGCAUGACUAUGCGUCGGAAAGAGAAGUUAUUUCUUAUCCCGAGAAUGAGAUGUUAAUCAUGCAUACUAUCUGUCAUGAGUUAUGUGCACUUGUAAAGCUAGAUAUUACACUAGUAUAUAUGGUUUUCCCAGUUUUCAAGAGGGUAUGUGGGGAAUACUCCAGGUACUCACAUUCUGCCACAUAAAAACUACCAACC
This 2113-nucleotide ribosomal RNA is filed under the name Triticum aestivum (bread wheat). RNAcentral's name for it is "partial small subunit ribosomal RNA". The record is from RNAcentral. Lineage: Eukaryota; Viridiplantae; Streptophyta; Magnoliopsida; Poales; Poaceae.